This 742-nucleotide ribosomal RNA is filed under the name uncultured bacterium. RNAcentral describes it as "bacterial SSU rRNA". It matches the Rfam family "Bacterial small subunit ribosomal RNA", at positions 94 to 823 of the family's 1533-position model. The record is from RNAcentral.
AGCGGCGGACGGGUGAGUAACACGUGGGUAACCUGCCCAAGAGACUGGGAUAACACCUGGAAACAGAUGCUAAUACCGGAUAACAACACUAGACGCAUGUCUAGAGUUUGAAAGAUGGUUCUGCUAUCACUCUUGGAUGGACCUGCGGUACAUUAGCUAGUUGGUAAGGUAACGGCUUACCAAGGCAAUGAUGCAUAGCCGAGUUGAGAGACUGAUCGGCCACAUUGGGACUGAGACACGGCCCAAACUCCUACGGGAGGCAGCAGUAGGGAAUCUUCCACAAUGGACGAAAGUCUGAUGGAGCAACGCCGCGUGAGUGAAGAAGGGUUUCAGCUCGUAAAGCUCUGUUGGUAGUGAAGAAAGAUAGAGGUAGUAACUGGCCUUUAUUUGACGGUAAUUACUUAGAAAGUCACGGCUAACUACGUGCCAGCAGCCGCGGUAAUACGUAGGUGGCAAGCGUUGUCCGGAUUUAUUGGGCGUAAAGCGAGUGCAGGCGGUUCAAUAAGUCUGAUGUGAAAGCCUUCGGCUCAACCGGAGAAUUGCAUCAGAAACUGUUGAACUUGAGUGCAGAAGAGGAGAGUGGAACUCCAUGUGUAGCGGUGGAAUGCGUAGAUAUAUGGAAGAACACCAGUGGCGAAGGCGGCUCUCUGGUCUGCAACUGACGCUGAGGCUCGAAAGCAUGGGUAGCGAACAGGAUUAGAUACCCUGGUAGUCCAUGCCGUAAACGAUGAGUGCUAAGUGU